This 253-nucleotide ribosomal RNA is filed under the name uncultured bacterium. RNAcentral's name for it is "partial 16S ribosomal RNA". It matches the Rfam family "Bacterial small subunit ribosomal RNA", at positions 524 to 776 of the family's 1533-position model. The record is from RNAcentral.
UAUGAAGGGGGCUAGCGUUGCUCGGAAUCACUGGGCGUAAAGCGCACGUAGGCGGCUUUCUAAGUCAGGGGUGAAAUCCUGGAGCUCAACUCCAGAACUGCCUUUGAUACUGGAGAGCUUGAGUCCGGGAGAGGUGAGUGGAACUCCGAGUGUAGAGGUGAAAUUCGUAGAUAUUCGGAAGAACACCAGUGGCGAAGGCGGCUCACUGGCCCGGUACUGACGCUGAUGUGCGAAAGCGUGGGGAGCAAACAGG